Molecule: ribosomal RNA, 457 nt
Filed under: uncultured Sphingobacteriales bacterium
Lineage: Bacteria; Pseudomonadati; Bacteroidota; Sphingobacteriia; Sphingobacteriales
Description: bacterial SSU rRNA
Rfam family: Bacterial small subunit ribosomal RNA
Source: RNAcentral
GGCGGAGGAGCAUGUGGUUUAAUUCGAUGAUACGACGAGGAACCUUACCUGGGCUCGAACGUAAGAUGACUGUAGGUGAAAGCUUACAUUCUCUUCGGAGCAUUUUUACGAGGUGCUGCAUGGUUGUCGUCAGCUCGUGCCGUGAGGUGUCGGGUUAAGUCCCAUAACGAGCGCAACCCCUACCUUUAGUUGCCAUCAGGUAAUGCUGGGGACUCUAAAGGAACUGCCUACGCAAGUAGUGAGGAAGGCGGGGAUGACGUCAAAUCAGCACGGCCCUUACGUCCAGGGCUACACACGUGCUACAAUGGCCGAUACAGAGGGCAGCUACCUGGUGACAGGAUGCAAAUCUCCAAAGUCGGUCUCAGUUCGGAUCGGAGUCUGCAACCCGACUCCGUGAAGUUGGAUUCGCUAGUAAUCGCGCAUCAGCCAUGGCGCGGUGAAUACGUUCCCGGGCCUU